GGAUUAGAUACCCUGGUAGUCCAUGCCGUAAACGGUGGGCGCUAGGUGUAGGGGACUUCCACGUCUUCUGUGCCGCAGCUAACGCAUUAAGCGCCCCGCCUGGGGAGUACGGCCGCAAGGCUAAAACUCAAAGGAAUUGACGGGGGCCCGCACAAGCGGCGGAGCAUGUGGAUUAAUUCGAUGCAACGCGAAGAACCUUACCUGGGCUUGACAUACACCAGAUCGCUGCAGAGAUGUAGCUUCCCUUGUGGCUGGUGUACAGGUGGUGCAUGGUUGUCGUCAGCUCGUGCCG
Molecule: ribosomal RNA, 292 nt
Filed under: uncultured bacterium
Lineage: Bacteria
Description: partial 16S ribosomal RNA
Rfam family: Bacterial small subunit ribosomal RNA
Source: RNAcentral